Molecule: long non-coding RNA, 8034 nt
Filed under: Malus domestica (apple)
Lineage: Eukaryota; Viridiplantae; Streptophyta; Magnoliopsida; Rosales; Rosaceae
Description: long non-coding RNA (MDOM_LNC012169)
Source: RNAcentral
GAAUAAAUAAAAAUCGAAAGCUACUAAUGUGCACUAAUAAACAGGAAGUGAUAGGAGUGAGAUACAAGUGUAAAUACUCCUAAUCAGAGCAUAAAAAGUCUAGGUGCAGUCCCGUAGGAUAAGUACUAGUUAUACAGUAUCAGAAGAUGUCCUACAAAUAUUUUAUUCCGUCAGAACCGCCGAGAUCCUCAAUGCCACCAACAAAAAGUCUACCUAAAACCUGGAGGGGCCCAAAACAGAAAAUGUGAGUGGGCAAAAACAAAACUUUUCAAAAUCAUUUCAUUAUCAAACGCUCUAACCCCAAAACAUAUAUAAUUUUCCUAGAAAUAGAAUAUAAACAUAUGCAUAAAUAUAUAUGUAUAUAUCAAUUCAAAUCAUGCUUCCCAAAUCCAUAAUUAUAAGUAUGCCAUGCCAAAACAUAAAAUAGAAUAAGUAACUCAGGUGAGAAUAAAUUCAUGGAAAAAAACAUAUUAUCUGGAACCCCUGCAGAAGUCUGUACGGUUGAAUUCAUAGCUCAUUAAUCAAUCUAGCCGGAGUCACUACAAGUGACCUAUACGACAAUACACUGCACACAAGUCAGAACCACUGUAAGGGUCUGUAUGACAAGACUGGGUGUAAUAUAGUUAUGCGCAAUGCUACGCACUCAUGAUAGCUAUGCGAUAAAUCGCUAGUCAUCUACAAGUCGGAACCACCUAUGAUGGUCUGUAUGACAAGACUGUGCAUCUAAAUUGGAUCCAAUGUAAGAAUAUGGUGCGGGAGGUUAUAAACAGGCAUGUGCCAUAUCUCUAGCUAAAUCACUAACACCGGGGUGCAAGUUUAUGAGCUCUAUACCUCUCAAUUAAUCACAACCGUUAUUGACAUUCACAAUUCAUAAACUCACUGGGCUUACCUGAGCGUCCACAACACCACAACUAUAUAUUAUGCAUACAAUUCUAACUCAUGGUUUAAGCAUAAAUCAAUAGGCAUGGCAUUUUCAAAGCAUAACUCAUUUAAAUGCAUUUUCUGGGAAAAUAUCAAGCAUAUAGAUAUAUACUUAAAACCAAAAGCCCACUCACUGGUAUGUCGAAGGGUCGUAGCCCCCGAGUCGCCCUUGACUACGCUCGUCCUCGGGAUAAGUCUCCCCUAUAUGCAAAACAACUAUAAAAACGUUAAUUUAAAGCACAUAACCAAUACUAGCUAAUAACUUCUCAUACAUUGCUCAAAUGAGGUAUAUAGAUAUAUCAUCGUGAUCUACACAACACCACGACAAAGGCACGGCAACACGCGCGGCCAUGCGCAGGGACCCUAACGGAAUCCUUUAACCCCGUUAGGAAUAUUCUGUUAAAUAGUAACGGAAACUGUUAAAUUAACCAACGCCGUAAGGAAUAUUCCAUCAAAGUUUACGGAAUAUUCCGUCAUCCCCUACUUUCGAACUCCGGCGAUCGUCGACGUCGCCAGAAACUGGGAAAAUCUUAGAAUCCUUAUAUCUCCGACGUUUCUUAACCAAAAUUCAUGAAAUUGGUCUCAAUUUAAAGCUUAUAACUAGAAGAACACAUCAUUUUUCGAACUCCGGCAACCGUCGUCGUCGCCGAAAACUAGGAAAAUCUUAUAAUCCUUAUAUCUCCAACGUUUCUUAACCAAAAUUCAUGAAAUUGGUCUCAAUUUAAAGCUUAUAACUAGAAGAACACAUCAUUACCAAUUUCAAGGCUUGAAAUCCACCAAAACUCGCUGGAGAGAGCUCGAUAAUUCCAACCAAACUUUAAACUUUCCAAACUCGACCUCCCGACGUCCAAUUUACUUGGUUUUUCUUCUCCGAGCUUCCUACGAACAUCCUAAAGCUUCUUAUGAGCUUAAAAUCCCCUAAAACAUCCAUAAUUACGACCACAUGAACAGUACUCAAAUCAGGGGUGAUGGUUUCUCAGGUUUUUUAUGGUUUCACGGCUUAAAAAUAGCAUAUAUGAACUCAGGGACUUGCAAAGAGUUCAAAUCUUACCUUCUUGACAUCGAUCCAUGUGCGAAAUGUGAGUUUGGUGUUCGUCCAUACGUUUUGUAUGGAAAUGGUAGGAAGGUCGAGAGAAGGAGAGAAAGAGAGAGAGAGAGAGAGCACGGGGUGCUGUUUGUGUGUGUGUGCGUGUGUGUGUGUGUCCUCACUUGGUCAUCCACCAAAACAACCCAAAAGUUUAAUUUUUACUUGAGUCCAAAACUUAGGAACUUAACAUAAUAGUCUACAUCCCAAAUGCAUUUCACACACAUCACAAUCUCGACAUCCAAGGGUAAAAUCAUCAUUUCACGCCGUAUAAACUAAAUGUUUCGGGAUGGGCUGUGACAAUCUACCCUCCUUAUAACAUUUCUUCCUUGAAAUUAUACACAACAAAUACCUCCACUAAUAGUCAUAAAACAAGUGUGGAUAUAUCUCUCUCAUCUAAUCCUCUGUUUCCCAAGUAGCCUCUUUCACUAAGUGAUUUCUCCAUAAGACUUUCACCAAACGCACUAUCUUAUUCCUUAGAACCUUAUCUUUCCAAUCCAAAAUAGUCACUGGUUCAUCAUCAUAAGUCAAAUCCAAAUUAAUUUCCAAAGGUUGAGGAGGAAUCACAUGUGAAGGAUCUGAGAUAUAAUGUCGAAGCAUCAAAACAUGGAAUGCAUUAUGCACUUUAGACAAUUCUGAAGGCAACUCAAGCCUAUACGCAACCUCACCGACUCGCUCAGUGAUCAUAUAUGGUCCAAUGUACCUAGGACUCAGCUUGCCUUUCUUUCUAAACCACACAACACCUUUCCAUGGUGAUAGCUUCAGAAAUACCCAAUUGCCUACAUUAUACCUUCGAUCAGUGGCAUGUUUAUCUGCUAAGCUCUUUUGUCGAUCUUGGGCCGCUUUCAGGUUAGACUUAAUUACCUGUAUAUUCUGAGUAUUUUCAUCCACAAUCUCCGGGCCCACCAAAACUCUUUCACCAACUUCUGACUAGCAUAAUGGCGUUCGACAAGACUUGCCAUAGAGUGCUUCAAAUGGUGCCAUACCAAUACUCGAAUUGGUAACUGUUGUUGUAGGCAAACUCCAUCAAAUCUAAACAAUCAUGCCAACCAUCGCCAAACUGCAGCACUGAAGAUCUCAGCAUAUCCUCUAAUGUCUAGAUAGUCCUCUCAGAUUGGUCAUCUGUUUGAGGAUGAUAUGACGUACGAUAAAGUAAUCUUGUACCAAGAGCUUCUUGGAAUGCUAUCCAGAACUUGGAAGUAAAUCUAAGAUACCGAUCGGAGAUAAUAUCAACUGGAACACCAUGGUACUUCACAAUCUUUUAUAUGAAUAGCUUAGCUAAUCGGCUUAAUGGAUAUUUUUCCCUUACUAGAAUAAAGUGUGUUGACUUAGUAAGCCGAUCAACUAUCACCCAAAUGUUAUCAUAACCAUUCCGUGUACGAGGAAGCUUGUAUACCAAACCCAUGGUAAUAUUUUCCCAUUUCCACUGUGGAAUGGGAAGCAGCUGCAUCAACCCAAACGGUUUCUUCCUUUCAGCUUUAACCUGUUGGCAAACGGCACACAUACUCACAUAUUCGGCAAUUUCCCUUUUCAUACCCGACCAAUAAUAAAAUGGUCGAAUGGUAUGAUACAUCUUGGUGCCUCCUGGAUGUAUUGCAUAUGCCAAAAUAUGUGCUUCAUCAAGGAUUUCUUUCUUUAACUCUGCAUUAUUCGGCACAUACAUUCUGCUUUCCUGCAUAAGCAUACUAUCAGUUUCUCAAAUUCUGAAAUCUUUCUUCUUUCCCUGAUUCCUCACUUGAAUUAUUUCCUGGGUCUCUUCAUCAUUCAUCUUUGCCUCGAGCACACGAUCAAUUAAGAUUGGCCUAACUUGAAAAUUAGCAAGGCUUCCUCUCUAUCUUCCACUCCUAACUCCACUCCAGUGGACCUCAAAUCCAUAAGAAGAGGAACAUGACAAUCAUAAAUGGCAUUAAGUCUAACUGGAGUCUUCCUACUAAGUGCAUCUGCCACCGCAUUUGCACGACCAGGGUGAUACUCAACCGUGCAAUCGUAAUCACUAAGUAACUCAAUCCACCUCCGCUUGCUAAAGAUUUAGAUCUCUCUGAGUAAAAAGAUACUGAAUACUCUUAUGAUCUGUGAAGAUCUUACAUUUCUCACCAUAAAGAUAAUGUAUCCGAAUCUUCAAAGCAAAGAUUAUAGCCGCUAACUCCAAAUCAUGAGUAGGGUAAUUCUUCUCUUAAGGUUUCAAUUGUCUUGAAGCAUAAGCAAUCACUCUACCAAGUUGCAUCAAAACAAAACCCAGGCUAUUCAAAGAAGCAUCACUGUAUACCUUGAAAUUACCAUUAUCAUCUGGAAGUGCUAGAACAGGUGCAUGAGUGAGAUAAUACUUCAACUGCUGAAAACUUUGCUCACAAUUAUCAUCCCACUCAAACUUAACAUCUUUCCUGGUCAACCUCAUCAAUGGUAAAGCAAUCACUGAAAAAUCCUUAACAAACUGUCUAUAAUAGCCUGCUAGGCCAAGAAAGCUCCGUACCUCAGUGACGGUUCGAGGUUGUUCCCAAUUCUCCACAGCUGCCACUUUUUUAGAACUACUCAAAUACCUUGAGCUGAUAUAACAUGUCCCAAAAAUGCCACUUGAUCUAACCAAAACUGGCAUUUGCUAAACUUAGCAUAUAACUGGUGUUCCCUUAAACUUUCAACACCAAUUUAAGAUGUCUAGCAUGCUCUACUCUAGUCUUAGAGUAUACCAGAAUGUCAUCAAUGAAGACAAUGACAAACCUAUCCAAAUACGACUGGAAUACUCGAUUCAUUAAAUCCAUGAAAGUUGCUGGUGCGUUAGUUAACCCAAACGGCAUCACAAGGAACUCAUAAUGACCGUGUCGAGUCCUGAAAGCUAUUUUAGGGACAUCUUCACUUCUAAUCUUCAACUGGUAGUAACUAGACCUCAAAUCAAUCUUAGAGAACAUACAAGCACCUCGGAGUUAAUCAAACAAAUCAUCUAUGCGAGAUAACGGAUAAUGGAUAACGGUUCUUAAUUGUUACUCGAUUCAAUUGUCUGUAAUCAAUGCAUAGCCUCAAGGUUCCGUCUUUCUUUCUCACAAAUAAGACUGAAGCUCCCCAGGGUGAAGUACUAGGCUGAAUAAAACCUUUAUUCACUAAUUCUUGCAACUGAACUUUUAAUUCCCUUAAUUCAGCAGGAGCCAUUUAUAUGGAGUCAAAGAUAUAAGAUUCAUACCUAGAAGCAGAUCAAUAACGAACUCCACAUCUCUAUCUGGUGGUAAUCUAGGCAAAUCAUUAGGGAACACAUCCGAAAAAUGUCUGACCACACGUACAUCCUCCACACUAUUAGGAGUAUUAUCAUUCAACACCACAUGAGCCAAAUAUCCCUGACAACCUUUUGACAACAAUCGUUUGGCUUUCAUGGCAGAAAUAACAUCAUACCUCACUCUGCUAAACUCUCCCACAAAUGUAACUUCAGGUAAUCUAGGACGAUGAAAAGUAAUUGUCUUUCCAUAACAAUCUAUCUUGGCACGGUUAUAGUGUAACCAAUCAGUGCCCAAAAUCACAUCAAAAUCCACAAUGUCCAACGACAUAAGAUUAACUGGCAUAACCACAUCAUCCACCAUAAUUGAACAUCCUGGAUAUACCCAAUCCACAUAACAUCUCUCCCCUCUAGGCAUAGAAAACUCUAAAUCGUAUCCUAGGGGUGUAGGAUGAGGUUGCGUCACUUGAGCAAAUGUAUGAGAAACAACAUAAUGUGUAUCACCACAAUCAAUCAAUACUCUAGCAAAAUGACCAAGAAUAUUUAAUGUACCCAUGAUUAAAUCAAGAUUGUUCUAAGCAUUUUUGCAGUGUCAUAUUAUGGAUACGUCCCUGAUUCUGCUGUCGUCCACCACGACCUAUGUUAGCAUGAACACCUUGUCCUUGCCUUGGCUGACCAGACUGCCUUGAAGAUACUGCACUUCUAGCAGCAAUCUCUACCUGCUGGGGCUGUCCCCAUUGGUACCAUUGGGAUCUACCUACUGAAUGUGGCUGAUAUGGCAUAGAACCUCCUUGAUACUGAGGGUAACCACCCUGAUAAUGAGGAUCCUGUGAGUACUGAUACUGCCCUGAAGUAUAAAGAGCGACGUCACCCUGAUAAUGAUAAGCACCACCACAACCAGUCUAACCAUAACCAUUAGAUCCUGAAGCUUGUUGGGUUGGCGCAGGUGGUGGUAAAGAGGGUUGUUGGGGCUUCUGCUGAUUCUGAGAGCAAUAUACAGCCUUAUGCCCAACCUGUCCACAAGUAUAGCAUUCACUGCUGCCUCUCCUACAUUCUCCAAAAUGCCUAUUAUUACACAUGCGACAUAGAGGAGCACUCAUACCACCUGAACCACCAAAGUCCCUUUGCCUCUGAAAUCUUGGGCCUUCAGCAAAUCUACCACCUCUCUUCUGCACAUUAGAGCUCAAACCUCCACUAAAAAAGUUAGAACUGCCACCGCUUCUCUUAAAACUCUGGGUCUUACGAGGUCCCUAAGAUGAUUGACCUUUACCUUUAUCAUCUCGCCUCUGGUUCCCGUUCUUUUCUUCUUCAUCUUCACUUUCACUGGGCAUGCUCUUUGAGUCCUCAAUCUGCAGUAAAACCUCAUAAAACUUCUGGUAAGUGGCAUAGGGAGUCAAUGUCGUUAUAGAAAGCCAUUUCUUCUUAGUACCCAACCUGAAACGACGAAGCAUCUCGACCGGAUUAGCAGCAACCUCCGGAUUAUAUCAAGACAAAUCAGUGAACCUCCUGUAAUACUCAUUCCCCGACAUUUUUCCUUGUUUCAGAUGAGUAAACUCUUGUUUCUUGCGAUCAAUGUACUCAGGGGGAAUAAACCUUUUCUGAAACAACUCAUGUCUCCACCAGGAUGCAGGCUUCGGACCCAAAAACCAGGUAGUCGUCUCGACCCACCUAUUAAGAUUCCCUUGACUCUGCAUAACAAGGAAAGUCUUCUCGACAUAAUUAAGCCACUUCUCCGCUCCCUCAUGUCCUUCAUUUCCCAUGAAAUGAUUCAGCUUCAGAUUAUACACAGUCUCAAGAGGUGUCAUUUGAGGAUGACGGAGUGAAGACUGAAUGGCAUUAGAUAUAGCUUCCCCUAAUUGAGCAAUAUCAGGGAAACUAGGCUCAGCUGAGUGACAUGGCUCUCUACGAGGUGGCAUAGUUCUGACAAAAGACAUCAUAAUGAUUAGAUUAUUCAUAAGAUAUAUAGGAUUGCUAAACCUAGGCUCUGAUACCAAACUGACACACCCUGACCGAGAUCGAGGCGUGCUGGCCAUCACGUAAGGGUGACGUAGCCAUAUGCACAGUGCGAAAGAAAUAAAGAUAAGAAAUAUAUGAAUAAAUAAAAACCGAAAGCUACUAAUGUGCACUAAUAAACAGGAAGUGCUAGGAGUGAGAUACAAGUGUAAAUACUUCUAAUCAGAGCAUAGAAAGUCUAGGUGCAGUCCCGUAGGACAAGCACUAGUUAUACAGUACCAGAAGAUGUCCAACAAAUAUUUUAUUCCGUCAGAACCGCUGAGAUCCUCAAUGCCACCAUCAGCAAGUCUACCUAAAACCUGGAAUGGCGCAAAACAGAAAAUGUGAGUGGGCAAAAACAAAGCUUUUCAAAAUCAUUUCAUUAUCAAACGUUCUAACCCUUCUCCGUAAAACAUGUAUAAUUUUCCCAUAAAUAGAAUAUAUGCAUAAAUAUAUAUGUAUAUAUCAAUUCAAAUCAUGCUUCACAUAUCCAUAAUUAUAAGUAUGCCUUACCAAAACAUAAAAUAGAAUAAGUAGCUCAGGUGAGAAUAAAUUCAUGGAAAUAACAUAUUAGCCGGAACCCCUACAGAAGUAUAUACGGUUGAAUUCAUAGUUCAUUAAUCAAUCUAGCCGGAGUCACUACAAGUAACCUAUACGGCACUACACUGCACACGAGUCGGAACCACUGUAAGGGUCUGUACGACAAGACUGGUGUAAUACAGUUAUCCUCAAUGCUACGCACUCAUGAUAGUUAUGCGAUAAAUCGCUAGUCACCUACGAGUCGGAACCACCUAUGAUGGUCUGUACGACAAGACUGUGCACCUAAAUUGGAUCCAAU